Molecule: small nucleolar RNA, 91 nt
Filed under: Pogonomyrmex barbatus (red harvester ant)
Lineage: Eukaryota; Metazoa; Arthropoda; Insecta; Hymenoptera; Formicidae
Description: small nucleolar RNA snR60/Z15/Z230/Z193/J17
Rfam family: Small nucleolar RNA snR60/Z15/Z230/Z193/J17
About the family: The members of this family belong to the C/D class of snoRNAs which contain the C (UGAUGA) and D (CUGA) box motifs.
Source: Rfam by way of RNAcentral
UAUAAUUGUUAUGAUGAUUCCAUAGUUCAACUGAUAGAACUAUGAUGAUAAUUUAUAUUUUAUAGUCUUUCGCUCCUAUCUGAUAUUUAUA